This 456-nucleotide ribosomal RNA is filed under the name uncultured bacterium. RNAcentral describes it as "bacterial SSU rRNA". It matches the Rfam family "Bacterial small subunit ribosomal RNA", at positions 232 to 700 of the family's 1533-position model. The record is from RNAcentral.
CGCGGCCUAUCAGCUUGUUGGUGAGGUAAUGGCUCACCAAGGCGAGGACGGGUAGCCGGCCUGAGAGGGCGACCGGCCACACUGGGACUGAGACACGGCCCAGACUCCUACGGGAGGCAGCAGUGGGGAAUAUUGCACAAUGGGCGGAAGCCUGAUGCAGCGACGCCGCGUGAGGGAUGACGGCCUUCGGGUUGUAAACCUCUUUCAGCAGGGACGAAGCGCAAGUGACGGCACCUGCAGAAGAAGCGCCGGCCAACUACGUGCCAGCAGCCGCGGUAAGACGUAGGGCGCGAGCGUUGUCCGGAUUUAUUGGGCGUAAAGAGCUCGUAGGCGGCUUGUCGCGUCGAAUGUGAAAACUUGGGGCUCAACCCUAAGCCUGCAUUCGAUACGGGCUAGCUAGAGUGUGGUAGGGGAGAUCGGAAUUCCUGGUGUAGCGGUGAAAUGCGCAGAUAUCAG